Molecule: ribosomal RNA, 525 nt
Filed under: uncultured bacterium
Lineage: Bacteria
Description: partial 16S ribosomal RNA
Rfam family: Bacterial small subunit ribosomal RNA
Source: RNAcentral
GACGAACGCUGGCGGCGUGCCUAAUACAUGCAAGUCGAGCGCAGGAAAUCGACGGAACCCUUCGGGGGGAAGUCGACGGAAUGAGCGGCGGACGGGUGAGUAACACGUAAAGAACCUGCCCUCAGGUCUGGGAUAACCACGAGAAAUCGGGGCUAAUACCGGAUGGGUCAUCGGACCGCAUGGUCCGAGGAUGAAAGGCGCUUCGGCUUCGCCUGGGGAUGGCUUUGCGGUGCAUUAGCUAGUUGGGGGGGUAAUGGCCCACCAAGGCGACGAUGCAUAGCCGACCUGAGAGGGUGAUCGGCCACACUGGGACUGAGACACGGCCCAGACUCCUACGGGAGGCAGCAGUAGGGAAUAUCGCACAAUGGGGGAAACCCUGAUGCAGCAACGCCGCGUGAGUGAAGAAGGCCCUUGGGUCGUAAAGCUCUUUAGCGAGGGAAGAGGGUAGAUACGGUGAAUAAUCGUGUUUGCUGACGGUACCUCGAGAAUAAGCACCGGCUAAUUUCGUGCCAGCAGCCGCCGUAA